This 468-nucleotide ribosomal RNA is filed under the name uncultured bacterium. RNAcentral describes it as "partial 16S ribosomal RNA". It matches the Rfam family "Bacterial small subunit ribosomal RNA", at positions 28 to 507 of the family's 1533-position model. The record is from RNAcentral.
GACGAACGCUGGCGGCGUGCUUAACACAUGCAAGUCGAACGGAAAGGCCCUGCUUUUGUGGGGUGCUCGAGUGGCGAACGGGUGAGUAACACGUGAGUAACCUGCCCUUGACUUUGGGAUAACUUCAGGAAACUGGGGCUAAUAUCGGAUAGGAGCUCCUGCUGCAUGGUGGGGGUUGGAAAGUUUCGGCGGUUGGGGAUGGACUCGCGGCUUAUCAGCUUGUUGGUGGGGUAGUGGCUUACCAAGGCUUUGACGGGUAGCCGGCCUGAGAGGGUGACCGGCCACAUUGGGACUGAGAUCCGGCCCAGACUCCUACGGGAGGCAGCAGUGGGGAAUAUUGCACAAUGGGCGGAAGCCUGAUGCAGCAACGCCGCGUGCGGGAUGACGGCCUUCGGGUUGUAAACCGCUUUCGCCUGUGACGAAGCGUGAGUGACGGUAAUGGGUAAAGAAGCACCGGCUAACUACGUG